RNAcentral lists this ribosomal RNA (425 nucleotides) under uncultured bacterium. Its description in RNAcentral is "partial 16S ribosomal RNA". It matches the Rfam family "Bacterial small subunit ribosomal RNA", at positions 354 to 796 of the family's 1533-position model. The record is from RNAcentral.
GUGGGGAAUCUUAGACAAUGGGGGAAACCCUGAUCUAGCCAUGCCGCGUGAUCGAUGAAGGCCUUAGGGUUGUAAAGAUCUUUCGCUGGGGAAGAUAAUGACUGUACCCAGUAAAGAAGCCCCGGCUAACUCCGUGCCAGCAGCCGCGGUAAUACGGAGGGGGCUAGCGUUAUUCGGAAUUACUGGGCGUAAAGCGCACGUAGGCGGACUGGAAAGUUGGGGGUGAAAUCCCGGGGCUCAACCUCGGAACUGCCUUCAAAACUCCCAGUCUUGAGUUCGAGAGAGGUGAGUGGAAUUCCGAGUGUAGAGGUGAAAUUCGUAGAUAUUCGGAGGAACACCAGUGGCGAAGGCGGCUCACUGGCUCGAUACUGACGCUGAGGUGCGAAAGCGUGGGGAGCAAACAGGAUUAGAAACCCUGGUAGUCC